This 275-nucleotide ribosomal RNA is filed under the name uncultured bacterium. RNAcentral's name for it is "partial 16S ribosomal RNA". It matches the Rfam family "Bacterial small subunit ribosomal RNA", at positions 338 to 606 of the family's 1533-position model. The record is from RNAcentral.
CCUACGGGUGGCUGCAGUCGAGAAUUUUUCUCAAUGGGGGAAACCCUGAAGGAGCGACGCCGCGUGGGGGAUGAAUGGCUUCGGCCCGUAAACCCCUGUCAUUUGCGAUCAAACCUUACAACUUAACACGUUGUAAGCUGAUAGUAGCGGAAGAGGAAGGGACGGCUAACUCUGUGCCAGCAGCCGCGGUAAUACAGAGGUCCCAAGCGUUGUUCGGAUUCACUGGGCGUAAAGGGUGCGUAGGCGGUCGGGUAAGUCUGAUGUGAAAGCUCGGA